RNAcentral lists this unclassified non-coding RNA (191 nucleotides) under soil metagenome. Its description in RNAcentral is "partial internal transcribed spacer 1". The record is from RNAcentral.
ACGAGUUAGGGUCCUCUAGGCCCGACCUCCCAACCCUUUGCUUACCGAACCUCUGUUGCUUCGGCGGGCCCGUCUCACGACCGCCGGAGGACCGCCGCAGGGCGUGUCCUCUAGCCCGUGUCCGCCGAUAGCCAACUACAGAACUCUGUAUAAAUCAUGUCUCAUGUCUAAGUCAAAUUGAAUUAAAAGCA